This 676-nucleotide ribosomal RNA is filed under the name uncultured archaeon. RNAcentral's name for it is "bacterial SSU rRNA". It matches the Rfam family "Archaeal small subunit ribosomal RNA", at positions 237 to 919 of the family's 1478-position model. The record is from RNAcentral.
GUGAGUAAUGCCCACCAAGGCUAUACCAGUACGGGCUCUGAGAGAGGGGCCCGGAGAUGGUACUGAGACACGGACCCAGGCCCUAUGGGGCGCAGCAGNCGAGAAACCUUUGCAAUGUGCGAAAGCACGACAAGGUUAAUCCGAGUGUCUCCUGCUAAAGGAGUCUUUUGUCAGUUGUAGAAUCACUGGUGAAUAAGGGGUGGGCAAGUUCUGGUGUCAGCCGCCGCGGUAAAACCAGCACCUCGAGUGGUCAGGAGGUUUAUUGGGCCUAAAGCAUCCGUAGCCGGUUGCAUAAGUUUUCGGUUAAAUCUAUGCGCUUAACGUAUAGGCCGCCGAAAAUACUGUGCAGCUAGGGAGUGGGAGAGGUACACGGUACUCGAUAGGAAGGGGUAAAAUCCUUUGAUCUAUUGAAGACCACCUGUGGCGAAGGCGGUGUACCAGAACACGUUCGACGGUGAGGGAUGAAAGCUGGGGGAGCAAACCGGAUUAGAUACCCGGGUAGUCCCAGCUGUAAACGAUGCAGACUCGGUGAUGCAUUGGCUUGUGGCCAAUGCAGUGCCGCAGGGAAGCCGUUAAGUCUGCCGCCUGGGAAGUACGUACGCAAGUAUGAACUUAAGGGAAUUGGCGGGGGAGCACCACAAGGGGUGAAGCCUGCGGUUCAAUUGGAGUCAACGCC